GCGCUCAACCAUUUUUAUACCACAGAAUGGCUGGCUAGUUGUAAAUUGAUAUCGUACUAAACAAAUGCUGCAAUUAUAUCCAUUCCUCUUCCCUCAUGCUGCUUUCACACGGUCGUCAACGCUAUAAUGCCGAUGAGCCGCUGGAGGACGUCGAUCUCGAUGACUAUUAAGCCUGGUGGGCUGUGAACGGGUGUCGAUUAUGCGUUACAUACAUAAUAAACCAGUACUUUUUGGGAAACCUCGUAAAGCAAAACGUUCAAAUUGAUUAGGAACCAAUUUACUUGCCACAUAGUUUUACCUAUGUUCAGCGUAGCCGUUCAAUACUUAUCACCAAUAGGGUCCCUCAUCAGUCGGAUGGUGCAUUUCCUUGUCGAUCAGAUCAGCGUGUAUCUAGAUAUGUACCUAUACGUUUUACCAAAUUUUUUAAUUAGUCGUGCACCAGGCUGAACCGAGUGCGAGGUAACUUUAAGCUGCAAAUUAAAUUCGUAUUUCGUACUCGUAAUUCGUAAUUCGUAAUUCGUAAUUCAACUGUCAUAUGAAAGGGAUAUUAGCGCAUUCUCCGUUCAUCUGGUGCGAUUUUGACUGCGGUUUUAGGAGCAAAAGAUCUUCGGUGAACAUGCCACUUUCGAACGUAUCUGCAUUUCCCCUAUUCAAAUUACAACCGAGUGUUAUAAGAAAGUAUACAAAUCUAAUCCAUAAAAUUGUAAUAAAAAUUAAACCAGAAUAAAAACACCACACAUAUA
Molecule: long non-coding RNA, 743 nt
Organism: Drosophila santomea
Lineage: Eukaryota; Metazoa; Arthropoda; Insecta; Diptera; Drosophilidae
Exons: 2
Source: RefSeq, a predicted model, not a curated record